GUGGGGAAUAUUGGACAAUGGGCGAAAGCCUGAUCCAGCCAUGCCGCGUGUGUGAAGAAGGUCUUCGGAUUGUAAAGCACUUUAAGUUGGGAGGAAGGGCAGUAAGUUAAUACCUUGCUGUUUUGACGUUACCGACAGAAUAAGCACCGGCUAACUUCGUGCCAGCAGCCGCGGUAAUACGAAGGGUGCAAGCGUUAAUCGGAAUUACUGGGCGUAAAGCGCGCGUAGGUGGUUUUGUAAGUUGGAGGUGAAAUCCACGGGCUCAACCUGGGAACUGCGUCCAAAACUGCAUGACUAGAGUACGGUAGAGGGUGGUGGAAUUUCCUGUGUAGCGGUGAAAUGCGUAGAUAUAGGAAGGAAAACCAGUGGCGAAGGCGACCACCUGGACUGAUACUGACACUGAGGUGCGAAAGCGUGGGGAGCAAACAGGAUUAGAUACCCGUGUAGUCC
Molecule: ribosomal RNA, 450 nt
Filed under: uncultured bacterium
Lineage: Bacteria
Description: partial 16S ribosomal RNA
Rfam family: Bacterial small subunit ribosomal RNA
Source: RNAcentral